UGAGAAAAAUAGGUUCUGACCAAAAAAGUAGACAAAAAGUCAAUGGUCAGAGUCAACAAGUAGCGUCGGCCAUAGCGUAAGCCAGAAUGCGUCGCAAAACACUAUUCAUGCUGCAGAAUGCAGAAACGUGUUUUUGGCUCGGAUUUGGCUCCAAAAGCACUUAUAAGCCUCGAAAAUCACUUAUUUAAGCCCAGAAAUUCAUGUCAAACAAUUACCACACUUAUAACAUGAUUAAAACAACUUAAAUCAACUUAAAUCAUAAAAAACAACCCAUUAAUUCAUGGAUUCUCAUCAUUUUACAUAAACCCACAAAUUUAUCAAAGACAACAAUCAACAUACAAAGGAAUCAUUUUUGCCAUAGCAAAACAUCAUUCAAGUAUGGGUAAACAUCUACAAUCAUGCAACAAUUCAUAAAACUUGAAUUUAAACAAAUUCCCAUAAACCCUUACAAACCCCCACCUAGAGAUAAAGAGAAUUUGGGCUGGAGAAGAAUCGCUUCUCCCCUCUCCUUAACAUAUCUCUAAUGAUUAUGAUUCUAACCUCUUACCUUAGCAAAAACGGAGAAAUAAUGAUUCAUCUUCAAGUUCCCAAGCUUUUCCUCUCCUCUUUGUUCUUCCUAAGGUACCUUCCAUCAUGUAGGUGAAAUUGCAAGUGGAUUUAGAGCUAAGAAUGAGUGGGAGUGGUUGGUGAAAGAAUGAAUAGGUUGGUGCUAGUUGGCGUGUGAAGAAGGAGGAAAAUUUAGCUUUCUGACUUCAUAUCUCAGGAAGUGAAAAAUGAAUCAUAUGGCUUAUAAUGAGAGUGUGGGUCUCACUUUGGUUCUUUCUUUGUUUUUAAGUAAUAAUAUGUGGUUCACAUUACACAUGGUAUCUUACUUAUGUGAU
This 881-nucleotide long non-coding RNA is filed under the name Trifolium pratense (red clover). Its description in RNAcentral is "long non-coding RNA (TPRA_LNC003999)". Lineage: Eukaryota; Viridiplantae; Streptophyta; Magnoliopsida; Fabales; Fabaceae. The record is from RNAcentral.